RNAcentral lists this ribosomal RNA (234 nucleotides) under uncultured Glomus. Its description in RNAcentral is "partial 18S ribosomal RNA". It matches the Rfam family "Eukaryotic small subunit ribosomal RNA", at positions 548 to 785 of the family's 1831-position model. The record is from RNAcentral. Lineage: Eukaryota; Fungi; Glomeromycota; Glomeromycetes; Glomerales; Glomeraceae.
UUGGAGGGCAAGUCUGGUGCCAGCAGCCGCGGUAAUUCCAGCUCCAAUAGCGUAUAUUAAAGUUGUUGCAGUUAAAAAGCUCGUAGUUGAAUUUCGGGACCAAUUUGUUGGUCGUGCCUCGGUACGUACUGGUAUUAUUGGUUUCUCCCUUCUGAAGAACCUUGAUGUCAUUAAUUUGGUGUCUUGGGGAAUCAGGACCGUUACUUUGAAAAAAUUAGAGUGUUUAAAGCAGGC